RNAcentral lists this long non-coding RNA (305 nucleotides) under Daucus carota (carrot). RNAcentral's name for it is "long non-coding RNA (DCAR_LNC002694)". The record is from RNAcentral. Lineage: Eukaryota; Viridiplantae; Streptophyta; Magnoliopsida; Apiales; Apiaceae.
UCUAAUUGAGGGUGCUUUGUUGAUUUCUAGAGAUGCCCCAGCACAUCGUGCUCUUGGAAUAAUCAAUCACAAUGGGCCUGAUAUGUCAAGUCUAUUGUUACUCAUUUUUUGUUGAUCAAAAUUUUGGUGUAAUAAUCUAGACUUAGGAUUGUAACUGCUCUUGGUUGUGGUUGUGUGGGCAUGGUUAGAUUUGUGGUGGGUAACAUUCUUACCUUUUUUUAGGAUGUUCUUGUAAUGAACCUUUAAUGGCAGAUUAAUAUAAUUUCGAAAUAGUCAUGUCAAUUUUUUUUAUUCAUAUUGUUGCA